AUUGAACGCUGGCGGCAUGCCUUACACAUGCAAGUCGAACGGCAGCACGGGGGCAACCCUGGUGGCGAGUGGCGAACGGGUGAGUAAUAUAUCGGAACGUGCCCUAGAGUGAGGGAUAACGCAGCGAAAGUUACGCUAAUACCGCAUACGAUCUACGGAUGAAAGUGGGUGAUCGCAAGACCUCAUGCUCAUUGAGCGGCCGAUAUCUGAUUAGCUAGUUGGUGGGGUAGAGGCCUACCAAGGCGACGAUCAGUAGCUGGUCUGAGAGGACGAUCAGCCACACUGGAACUGAGACACGGUCCAGACUCCUACGGGAGGCAGCAGUGGGGAAUUUUGGACAAUGGGGGCAACCCUGAUCCAGCAAUGCCGCGUGAGUGAAGAAGGCCUUCGGGUUGUAAAGCUCUUUUGUCAGGGAAGAAACGGUGAGUGCUAAUAUCGCUUGCUAAUGACGGUACCUGAAGAAUAAGCACCGGCUAACUACGUGCCAGCCGCCGCAGUAA
Molecule: ribosomal RNA, 500 nt
Filed under: uncultured bacterium
Lineage: Bacteria
Description: partial 16S ribosomal RNA
Rfam family: Bacterial small subunit ribosomal RNA
Source: RNAcentral